RNAcentral lists this ribosomal RNA (431 nucleotides) under uncultured Lysobacteraceae bacterium. RNAcentral's name for it is "bacterial SSU rRNA". It matches the Rfam family "Bacterial small subunit ribosomal RNA", at positions 359 to 789 of the family's 1533-position model. Lineage: Bacteria; Pseudomonadati; Pseudomonadota; Gammaproteobacteria; Lysobacterales; Lysobacteraceae. The record is from RNAcentral.
CCAUGACUGGGCGCAGCCUGAUCCAGCCAUACCGCGUGGGUGAAGAAGGCCUUCGGGUUGUAAAGCCCUUUUGUUGGGAAAGAAAAGCAGUCGAUUAAUACUCGGUUGUUCUGACGGUACCCAAAGAAUAAGCACCGGCUAACUUCGUGCCAGCAGCCGCGGUAAUACGAAGGGUGCAAGCGUUACUCGGAAUUACUGGGCGUAAAGCGUGCGUAGGUGGUUGUUUAAGUCUGUUGUGAAAGCCCUGGGCUCAACCUGGGAAUUGCAGUGGAUACUGGGCGACUAGAGUGUGGUAGAGGGUAGUGGAAUUCCCGGUGUAGCAGUGAAAUGCGUAGAGAUCGGGAGGAACAUCCAUGGCGAAGGCAGCUACCUGGACCAACACUGACACUGAGGCACGAAAGCGUGGGGAGCAAACAGGAUUAGAUACCGUG